AACGCACCUUGCACCCUUUGGUAUUCCGAAGGGUACGCCUGUUUGAGCGUCAUUAAUCUCUCAAAGCUGAUUGGUUUUGCGAUCAAUCAUGCUUUGGAUGUGAGGGUUGCUGAUUGAAAGAUCAGACUCCCUUUAAAUACAUUAGUGGUUAUCUGAAUCCCACUCUAAGUGUGAUAGUCUAUCUACGCUUUGCAGUGAUUUGGAAUGGACUGCUUUCUAACCGUCCCUUUGCUGGGACAAUAGACUCGUCCUUUCAGUCGUUAAGACUGGUGUUGAAGUUCGUUAACCCUUACUUCUAGUAGAGUCGAUUUGACUAUUUGACCUCAAAUCAGGUGGGACUACCCGCUGAACUUAA
This 355-nucleotide unclassified non-coding RNA is filed under the name uncultured fungus. RNAcentral's name for it is "sequence contains ITS2". The record is from RNAcentral. Lineage: Eukaryota; Fungi.